Molecule: long non-coding RNA, 5018 nt
Filed under: Brassica napus (rape)
Lineage: Eukaryota; Viridiplantae; Streptophyta; Magnoliopsida; Brassicales; Brassicaceae
Description: long non-coding RNA (BNAP_LNC022842)
Source: RNAcentral
AAAAAUCGGAUAUCCGAUUUUUUAAACCGAUUUGGCAUAAAUCGGGGCGGAAAAGUGAUGCGUAACGCCUAGGCGGCUAGGCGGCCGAGUUUUAGAACAGGGGUAUGAGAAAUUAUACUAUAACACCUCGUGGUUGAUGUGGUCACUAGUUCCAUAAACAGUGAAGGUGUUGUGGUUUUGUUUGAAAUUAUACUGUGUCACACGUAUCUGGAAAACAAAUUAUUUUCCAGCAAGUUCCGCAAAGCAUAGUUGGAAUUCCUCACAGAGACCACCAUUCAUCUGCAGCGGGUGUAAGAAUUAAUAGCUGCAAAAUGGUUAUUACAGUGCUAUACUUUAAACUAAGUUUGUGUGAAUCAAAAAACAAACCUGAUUUAGAGUCAGAGCAGCUGAUUUAUUUUUUUGUGAGUUUAAGCAUUUCUCUGUCGAAGACCACAAAAGUGGCAUUGUUUAAUGUUCAUUAAUAAUCUUGAUAAAACUAUUUAGAAUAUUAUUGCUUUUCCUUGGAAUGUUCCUUGUGAGACGCAAGUUGAUUAUGUAAAAAUCUCAAAUAAAGAGAAGUGAAACUGAAACUAUGUCCUUCAUACCAUUUCAUUACAAACCAUUUCAAGCAAAAACAGUAUUAGAAAAAUCUUAGUAUAACAUAAGAUUCAAUCCUUCUUCACAUCUACUGCUUCGUCUUUUUCUCUGUUGCCUUCUUCCAUAAUGUUUUUCGUUUCUUUUGUCUCUUCCAUAGUUUCACCCUCUAGAUCAUUAUCUUCUUCUGCAACAGCAGGAAAACAACUCAUCACUACUACCAAAAUAAAACCAUCAACUACACUUAACUGCUUUAAACAACACCAAGUCAAUAUCCUUCCUAUGCAUGGUCCAAAACCUUACCUUAACAUGCAUCUUCUGCAUUUUGUUUCAAGCAUGCUUAAUAUAACGUUAACCCACUUUAACUAUUAAAUUAUAGAAAUUAUUCCCCUCUUAUGAGGUACGUAGUCGUAAAUGGAUUUUUCAAAAACUUGGAAACGGGGAAAAUAUUGCAAAAUCCGAAAUAAGAAAUGCAUAGUAAUUUAAAGAAUUGCAAAGAGACCGAAGCAGAGUUGGGUUGACGGUUUCACAGUUUUGUAACUUCACUCACGGGGGUUCUUACGACUACCCUCUUUUCCCUUAACACCGGAUGGAUUUGGGUCAUCGCCUUGACCUUCAACCUCGUUGCUGGAAGCUUCCAACUCCCAAGCUGAAUACAAAAUAAGGAAGUUCGUCAAAAAUAGUUCACAAUCAGUGCUGCAUCACAGAACCAGAUUAAACUAUCGUGUAGCUCGCUUACUGACACACAAAUUCUGCAUCAAAUAUUACCCAUCACGAUAUAGAAACCAAAUCGUAAGCGAGUUGUUUUAUUAAAUUAACAUCCAGCAACUAAAGGAUUCCAUCAGCACAUCAAAGGCUUCAGCUUUUUAAUACAUGACUUAAAAUUUCAAGGAAUCAUGUUCAUAUACUUUUUCUUAAUCAUGCAACCCCACAAUGAAUUGUAACUUUUUUUUUUGCUAAGACAAUUAUAACAAUUGACAAACGACCGAGCAGCUUUUUUAUUUCUUUGGUUCAUGUACAGAUCAGACCAAGCGGAUUUCAUCAAAUCAAAACACCAUCACAAAACAAUCACUACACAUAAGCGUUUUCUUUUUUUUCAGUCACUGAUUCAAACGUGUAUUCAAUGGGACAAAACUAUAUUAAUCAAAAAACUAAAAGCAAAAUAGAAGGUUAAAUAGCUAGUAGUUAGUUUUGUAAUUGUCAAAACAAAAAAAAAAAUUAACUUUUUUUUUGGUUUCAGUGGACAUGGAAGCUUCUCAAAUGACCCGAGGUUGAACAGUGUGGUGGGUCACCUUCUUCAUUCCUCUAUUCUAGUCCCUUACCAUGGCUGGUUAGUUUUGCUUUUCUCUCAGAAACUACUUGCAGAGUCUUUUGUCUUCUUCUUCUUCUUCAUGUUAUAAAGUAUGUGACUUUGAUUUGACCUGCAGGAGAAUUAGCCACAGAACUCACCACCAGAACCAUGGACAUGUUGAGAACGACGAAUCUUGGCAUCCUGUAAGUUAUUAACACAGGUCAUGUGGUGUUUCUUUUAUUUAUACACUGUUUCUGUAACUGCAGAUGUCUGAGAAAAUCUACGAGAGUUUGGACAAACCGAUUCGGUUCUUUAGAUUCACACUGCCUCUCGUCAUGCUCGCUUACCCUUUCUACUUGGUAAAGAAAAACUCAUCUGUUGUUAACUUAAACUGACACAUCAAGUGCAAAAACAAGGCUCAUGUUUUCUUCAUCUGUUGUUUCAGUGGGCAAGAAGUCCGGGGAAGAAGGGUUCUCAUUACCAUCCAGACAGCGACUUGUUCCUUCCUAAAGAGAGAAAUGAUGUUCUCACUUCUACCGCUUGUUGGACUGCAAUGGCUGCUCUGCUUGUCUGUCUCAACUUCGUGAUGGGUCCAAUGCAAAUGCUGAAACUUUAUGUGAUUCCUUACUGGGUAAUGCGUCUCUGUUACUCCCCUGAUUCAUAUUAUUCCCUUUGCCUGACACCACAAUUGUUUUUUUAAUGUCAAAAUACAGAUAAAUGUUAUGUGGUUGGACUUUGUGACUUACCUGCAUCACCAUGGUCAUGAAGAUAAGCUCCCUUGGUACCGUGGGAAGGUAGUCUUUGGCCUUUGUAGACAACACCAUGUUAUCUCUCUCUCUCUCUCUCUUUAAGGUUGUCUAAACUCUCAUGUCUCUCUCGGAAACAGGAAUGGAGUUACUUGAGAGGAGGACUUACAACAUUGGACCGUGACUACGGAUUGAUCAACAACAUCCAUCACGACAUUGGAACUCAUGUGAUACAUCAUCUUUUCCCUCAGAUCCCACAUUAUCAUCUAGUAGAAGCAGUAAGUAGUUGAAACGAAAGUUUGAUUUUUGGUGUGUUCAUGCUACUACAGAAGCUUAGAACUUAUCUCUGUGUGUCUCUUGGUUGCUUGUUUCUCCUUUGCAGACAGAAGCAGCUAAACCAGUAUUAGGGAAGUAUUAUAGGGAGCCUGAUAAGUCUGGACCUUUGCCAUUGCAUUUACUGGGAAUCUUAGCAAAAAGUAUUAAAGAAGAUCAUUUUGUGAGCGAUGAAGGAGAUGUUGUAUACUAUGAAGCAGACCCUAAUCUCUAUGGACAGAUCAAGGUAACAUCAGAAUGAAAUGAAGCAUGCAAAGAGAGAAAGAGAGAGAAGCUGUCAGAUUUAUCUAUUUCUGACCAGCUGAUUUUUUUUGCUUAUUAAUGUCAAUUCAUUGUGUUACCAUUAUCUCUGAAUACAAUCAGAUGGAAACCCCAACUUUGUUUUCAAUACUUGAAGCAUAUAUAUAAGAUACAUUGUACUGUCAUUAGAUUCUCAAGGUUUUUUAUACAUAUUUUGUAUUUGAGUGAUUACACCAAACAUUAUUCAGUUUGGUUGGUUUUGUAUUUUAAGGUAAGUUUCAAUUAUAAUUUCAUUCAUGCGGUGAACAUGUAACUACUGUCAUAGACUAUUUCUACACGGAAAAAAAUCGGAUAUCCGAUUUUUUAAACCGAUUUGGCAUAAAUCGGGGCGGAAAAGUGAUGCGUAACGCCUAGGCGGCUAGGCGGCCGAGUUUUAGAACAGGGGUAUGAGAAAUUAUACUAUAACACCUCGUGGUUGAUGUGGUCACUAGUUCCAUAAACAGUGAAGGUGUUGUGGUUUUGUUUGAAAUUAUACUGUGUCACACGUAUCUGGAAAACAAAUUAUUUUCCAGCAAGUUCCGCAAAGCAUAGUUGGAAUUCCUCACAGAGACCACCAUUCAUCUGCAGCGGGUGUAAGAAUUAAUAGCUGCAAAAUGGUUAUUACAGUGCUAUACUUUAAACUAAGUUUGUGUGAAUCAAAAAACAAACCUGAUUUAGAGUCAGAGCAGCUGAUUUAUUUUUUUGUGAGUUUAAGCAUUUCUCUGUCGAAGACCACAAAAGUGGCAUUGUUUAAUGUUCAUUAAUAAUCUUGAUAAAACUAUUUAGAAUAUUAUUGCUUUUCCUUGGAAUGUUCCUUGUGAGACGCAAGUUGAUUAUGUAAAAAUCUCAAAUAAAGAGAAGUGAAACUGAAACUAUGUCCUUCAUACCAUUUCAUUACAAACCAUUUCAAGCAAAAACAGUAUUAGAAAAAUCUUAGUAUAACAUAAGAUUCAAUCCUUCUUCACAUCUACUGCUUCGUCUUUUUCUCUGUUGCCUUCUUCCAUAAUGUUUUUCGUUUCUUUUGUCUCUUCCAUAGUUUCACCCUCUAGAUCAUUAUCUUCUUCUGCAACAGCAGGAAAACAACUCAUCACUACUACCAAAAUAAAACCAUCAACUACACUUAACUGCUUUAAACAACACCAAGUCAAUAUCCUUCCUAUGCAUGGUCCAAAACCUUACCUUAACAUGCAUCUUCUGCAUUUUGUUUCAAGCAUGCUUAAUAUAACGUUAACCCACUUUAACUAUUAAAUUAUAGAAAUUAUUCCCCUCUUAUGAGGUACGUAGUCGUAAAUGGAUUUUUCAAAAACUUGGAAACGGGGAAAAUAUUGCAAAAUCCGAAAUAAGAAAUGCAUAGUAAUUUAAAGAAUUGCAAAGAGACCGAAGCAGAGUUGGGUUGACGGUUUCACAGUUUUGUAACUUCACUCACGGGGGUUCUUACGACUACCCUCUUUUCCCUUAACACCGGAUGGAUUUGGGUCAUCGCCUUGACCUUCAACCUCGUUGCUGGAAGCUUCCAACUCCCAAGCUGAAUACAAAAUAAGGAAGUUCGUCAAAAAUAGUUCACAAUCAGUGCUGCAUCACAGAACCAGAUUAAACUAUCGUGUAGCUCGCUUACUGACACACAAAUUCUGCAUCAAAUAUUACCCAUCACGAUAUAGAAACCAAAUCGUAAGCGAGUUGUUUUAUUAAAUUAACAUCCAGCAACUAAAGGAUUCCAUCAGCACAUCAAAGGCUUCAGCUUUUUAAUACAUGACUUAAAAUUUCAAGGAAUCAUGUUCAUAUACUUUUUCUUAAUC